This 85-nucleotide transfer RNA is filed under the name Felis catus (domestic cat). It matches the Rfam family "tRNA". Rfam says of the family: Transfer RNA (tRNA) molecules are approximately 80 nucleotides in length. Lineage: Eukaryota; Metazoa; Chordata; Mammalia; Carnivora; Felidae. The record is from Rfam by way of RNAcentral.
ACCUGGGUAGCUCAGUCGGUUGAGCGUCCGACUUCAGCUCAGGUCAGGAUCUCGCAGUCUGUGAGUUCAAGCCCCACGUCAGGUU